This is a long non-coding RNA of Adelges cooleyi (spruce gall adelgid), 1842 nucleotides long. RefSeq lists it as uncharacterized. Lineage: Eukaryota; Metazoa; Arthropoda; Insecta; Hemiptera; Adelgidae. The record is from RefSeq and is a predicted model, not a curated record. The transcript is spliced from 9 exons.
UAUUAUUUAUUUGGCUUAGCUAAUAGCUUGAAUGUUUUUUCAUUUUUUGAUUUUUAAUAGCAAUAUUGAGUAAACAUUGAUUAACAUAAUUUUACUACAUUUAUUUGGUAAUGGAACAUAAAUGAUUUAUGAUACAAUUGAAAAAGAACUGACAAAAUAUGAGUGAUAAUCGCAAAUUAAUGAAAUUUCAAUAAAAUAUUGGGACUUUGGUAUACAUUUUGGAGCACCUAUGGGAGGGUUAGCAGUGAUUCACCUUAGAAAGGGUUGCAACCCUUUUUUACCAGCUGCAGAGGUACACUGGGACAUUAAAAAAAAGGGUGCAAAAAACUAAAAUGGCUCCUGUACACAAUAAAGGGGAUAAUGUGUAUGGCUGCGCAGAAGGGCAUAUUUGUUAGCGAGUGCGCACUAACUGUCCGAUUCGCAUACGAUUGGGGAACUGAGACCUACGAUGGGCAGAGAAGGAAAAAAAGGGUAAUGGUUUUUUACUUUGGCCAACCAGAGUUCAGUGCUUCAUGCAAAGGACACCAAAAGGGUUCCUGCCGUGAGCUGUAGUCGUCCGAUGCCGAUGUAUACUCCUGCAGUAGUGUCAACGUGCUCGAUUAGUGCAGUAGUGGUGGUUUACAGUUAGUGUUAGUUAUUUUAAAUAUUUCAACGCGUUAUUGUUAUUAUUAUUUUUUUUUUUAAUUUUGCAUUUUAUACAUUUUUUAUUGUUUUUCAAGAGCAAGGAUUAAUUUUUUAAGGAUUCCUGCAUAAUACUAUAGUAUAAGGAUACAGAGAUGUACAGAAAAAUAACGACUCAGGAAAUAACGAUGAAGGCGUUUUUUUAUUUCCAUUUUCUUGGCCGCUACGGUGUUGCCUACACAGAGCGCCGUCGUCGUCGUCGUCGUUGCUGUCGCCUUCCGAAACAGAUAAGAUGCUCGUUCUGUAUUCAGUUGUUGUAUGGCAUUUUCACCAGACCGAGGAAAAUUCCAUCUACGUUAAAGAUACGACUAUACUCUCCUGCGAUCUACUACUCGAAUACAUAAGUCGAUUUCAGCCGACCAAAAGCUGUUACUACCGUACAUUCAAGUCGAAGAAUAUGCAAUGACCAUUUUAAAGUAAUUGUAUUGGUGCUGGAUCAAAAGAAAGACCAAAAUGGCAUUACUUAGUCAGCUAUUAAAUAUUGAUAUCAAUUGUUAUAUACGACGAGGAGCCGGAAACGAACUGCGGGCAUUUUUGUACUGUGUAUACGAUACGGCCAUCCUCGUUUGACGCGGACCGACAGACGCGCGGUCACAGGUGUGAAAUUAAUACGAACGUCUCGGAGAGGCGGACGAAAAACCGAGAAGGAGUUUAAGGAUUUAGGCGGCCACCGAAAUACACCACGCUGUCGCUGUCCGUAUACGGUAUAUAUAUUUUAUAGGGUGUGCGAUGUGAUUGUAAUAAUAGUUAACAACGAUAAUGACGAAUCGGAUCGGUUCGGGUUAAUAAUUUCCGUGUGCCGGAACGAAAGGCGACGGACCACCCACCAGUGCGGAACGAACACUGCGCGAGCUGAGGAAAUGUCGCCGGCCGAAAACGACCCACGGCAGUAGCCGUCUACGCUUACCGGGUGCUGUUCUUGGCGACACGUUUGUUUGGCAUGAAAAAAAUCCUCCUUUUUUUUUUAUUCAUAACCGGUUACAUCGGUUGACGGUCGUGGGAAUGCAAAUUUUCGCUUCCCGCCGCGUGUCCAAUCACCGCAAAAAAUUUUCCACUACCGCCGCCAACGUUGUCAUUACUCUAUAUUAUUCGGACAUCGUUACACACACACACACACACACUUUAUUAGAAAAGAGUGUACGCGUAAGAUGAAGAAUGCUG